RNAcentral lists this ribosomal RNA (306 nucleotides) under uncultured Umboniibacter sp. Its description in RNAcentral is "bacterial SSU rRNA". It matches the Rfam family "Bacterial small subunit ribosomal RNA", at positions 29 to 334 of the family's 1533-position model. Lineage: Bacteria; Pseudomonadati; Pseudomonadota; Gammaproteobacteria; Cellvibrionales; Cellvibrionaceae. The record is from RNAcentral.
AGUGAACGCUGGCGGCGUGCCUCAUACAUGCAAGUCGAACGAUGAAGCUCUAGCUUGCUAGAGUGGAUUAGUGGCGCACGGGUGAGUAAUGCAUAGGAAUCUACCCGGUAGUGGGGGACAACUUGUGGAAACGCAAGCUAAUACCGCAUACGCCCUAUGGGGGAAAGCGGGGGAUCUUCGGACCUCGCGCUAUCGGAUGAGCCUGCGUAGGAUUAGCUAGUUGGUGGGGUAAAGGCUCACCAAGGCGACGAUCCUUAGCUGGUCUGAGGGGAUGAUCAGCCACACUGGAACUGAGACACGGUCCAG